GACGAACGCUGGCGGCGUGCUUAACACAUGCAAGUCGAACGCUGAAGCCCUUUCGGGGGUGGAUGAGUGGCGAACGGGUGAGUAACACGUGGGUAAUCUGCCCUGUACUUCGGGAUAAGCCUUGGAAACGGGGUCUAAUACCGGAUAGGACCUGUCCUCGCAUGGGGGUGGGUGGAAAGUUCCGGCGGUAUGGGAUGAGCCCGCGGCCUAUCAGCUUGUUGGUGGGGUAGUGGCCUACCAAGGCGACGACGGGUAGCCGGCCUGAGAGGGUGACCGGUCACACUGGGACUGAGACACGGCCCAGACUCCUACGGGAGGCAGCAGUGGGGAAUCUUGCGCAAUGGGCGAAAGCCUGACGCAGCAACGCCGCGUGGGGGAUGACGGCCUUCGGGUUGUAAACCUCUUUCGACAUCGACGAAGGGGCCCUGUUGUGGGGUUUUGACGGAGGUGUAGAAGAAGCACCGGCUAACUACGUGCCAGCCGCCGCCGUAA
RNAcentral lists this ribosomal RNA (492 nucleotides) under uncultured bacterium. Its description in RNAcentral is "partial 16S ribosomal RNA". It matches the Rfam family "Bacterial small subunit ribosomal RNA", at positions 28 to 523 of the family's 1533-position model. The record is from RNAcentral.